Molecule: non-coding RNA, 392 nt
Organism: Silurus meridionalis
Lineage: Eukaryota; Metazoa; Chordata; Actinopteri; Siluriformes; Siluridae
Source: the annotation of a RefSeq genome assembly
CACCCACAGCAACCAUGACUUUGAUCAGCGUCUUCAUCUGCACACUGGCCCUCUGGACUCAAGGAUCCAGAGGUCAGGUGACUGUGACUCAGACUCCUUCAGUGCAAACUGUUGUUCCAGGAAACACAGUCACUAUCAACUGUAAAACCAGUAGCAGAGUGGAUAGUGGUAACUACCUGCACUGGUACCUGCAGAAACCUGGAGAAGCUUCUAAACUCCUGAUCUACAGGGCUACAAGCGUACAGUCAGGAACUCCAGCUCGUUUCAGUGGCAGUGGAUCGAAUACUGACUUCACUCUGACCAUCAGUGGAGUCCAGACUGAAGAUGCAGGAGAUUACUACUGUCAGAGUUUACAUAAGAUCACUGGUAACUGGGUGAUCACACAGUGUUAG